AGAGUUUGAUCAUGGCUCAGAUUGAACGCUGGCGGCAUGCCUUACACAUGCAAGUCGAACGGCAGCACGGGGGCAACCCUGGUGGCGAGUGGCGAACGGGUGAGUAACAUAUCGGAACAUACCCUAGAGUGGGGGAUAACGUAGCGAAAGUUACGCUAAUACCGCAUACGAUCUAAGGAUGAAAUGGGGGAUCUUCGGACCUCAUGCUCAUGGAGUGGCCGAUAUCUGAUUAGCUAGUUGGUGAGGUAAAGGCUCACCAAGCCGACGAUCGGUAGCUGGUCUGAGAGGAUGAUCAGCCACACUGGGACUGAGAUACGGCCCAGACUCCUACGGGAGGCAGCAGUGGGGAAUAUUGGACAAUGGGGGCAACCCUGAUCCAGCAAUGCCGCGUGAGUGAUGAAGGCCUUAGGGUUGUAAAGCUCUUUUGCCAGGGAAGAUGAUGACUGUACCUGGAGAAUAAGCCCCGGCUAACUUCGUG
This 478-nucleotide ribosomal RNA is filed under the name uncultured bacterium. RNAcentral's name for it is "bacterial SSU rRNA". It matches the Rfam family "Bacterial small subunit ribosomal RNA", at positions 8 to 507 of the family's 1533-position model. The record is from RNAcentral.